GGGUCAGUAGGUUGGUCGUGCCACCGGUACGUACUGGUCUCACUGAUUCCUCCUUCCUGAAGAACCGUAAUGCCAUUAAUUUGGUGUUGCGGGGAAACAGGACUGUUACUUUGAAAAAAUUAGAGUGUUUAAAGCAAGCAAACGCUUGAAUACAUUAGCAUGGAAUAAUGAAAUAGGACGAUCGAUCCUAUUUUGUUGGUCUCUAGGAUUGACGUA
RNAcentral lists this ribosomal RNA (216 nucleotides) under Glomeromycotina sp. RNAcentral describes it as "partial small subunit ribosomal RNA". The stretch from base 40 to 216 matches the Rfam family "Eukaryotic small subunit ribosomal RNA", at positions 686 to 864 of the family's 1831-position model. Lineage: Eukaryota; Fungi; Glomeromycota. The record is from RNAcentral.